AUGUUGCCCGAUACUCCAAACAAAACACAAACUAACAGAGUUAGUUUAUGCGGUGCUUUAUUCAGGGCCCGGGGAACCUGCGGACUGGCGUCCAAAGUCAGGAUCCCGCAGUUCCCUUUUUCCGUCAGGUUUUUAUACCUUUUUACAAAAGUGGUCUACGUGCAGAAGUACACAUUCUCCAAAACAAUACAGAUACAUAAAUCUUUUCUAAAUGUUCUAUAUGCUCUACUAAUUCUUUUGACUAUUGUUUCACAAGGUAGGUUCUCAGGGCCUGUCCGAAAACUACAGUUUUCUAAGCCUUAGCAUGACUACUACUAUAUCUACAUUAGUCCUUUUUCUCAUUAUUUCGGUAUCACAAAGACACAGGAGCAAUCCCAGAGCUUUUUCUCUGAAAGAACACGAUGUGGCACAGCUGGCCACUGGCAAAGGGAAAAGGCUUUGAGGAAAGUACUGACAUGUUCGUGGAAGUCAUUGAAUAUAAGAAUUAAUUCCUUUCAGAGGCAUCUUUGAGAUACUAUCUUAUAUCAUCUUGUGCAGGUCUGCUUGGGUGUGUAGGGUUUUGUUGUGAGGCAGUUUUUUGUGAUUGUGGGAGAGUUGUGCAGGAUGUUUCUUAUUAAAAAAAACAAACUUGCCAAAUACAUUUAUCGCAUUUCUUACCGCACUAAACUUUCUGCAAAUAGCUUUUCACUUAUACACCAAGACUAAUCACAAAAUCAUGGCCUCAUCCCGAGAUUUUCCUCCAAAAAGAGCUACCACAUUGUGUUUUGGCUACAGAAUAAGUUUUAUGUUUCAUAUUUAUAUUUCUUCUUUUUUAAAAGUGAGCAUCUGGACAAAUGCAGACUUUCUUGAAAUAGGUUUAAUUGAAAGUUCUUUGUUCAGAACAUGUGGAAGGAACGUGAUGACCAUUUUCUCUCCCUCUUUUUCAUUGCUUUCAUGAAUGUUUGCUGCAUUCUCACCCUCACCACAGUCAGCAUCGCUUCAUCUGUCAGAUAUUUGAAUUGAAUGUGUUGCUGUGCUGUAUAAAACUGUACAAAAUUCAUGGUUUUAGUCUUUUUACUCAGCCUGCCUUCUAGUCACUAGAGGGCAAUGUCUCUCUGAAGCACAAACACCGAUCCAGGCUCUUGCUCUUAAAAUCAGCAUCUUGUUUUUAUCAUCGAGCUGAGGCAAAUGAGCUCAGUUAAUUUAAUGCUGAAUUCUGUUGCCAAAAACGAGAGAAGAGAGCAUGGGGGAGCUCUCUAAUAAAUAGCAAGACUUGGGUAAAAAGUCUCAACUCUGGAAGCCACUCUUAGAGCCAGAAUAUGGAUUUAUUGUUUCUGAUGGUCUUGCAGUAAUUCCCAGUAGCCUUUGGUUGGGAAAGCACCAACAAGCAAAGUGCAGGCAGGGUUCUGGGAAGGAGGGAACUUGCAGGAAUAGCCACUGCCUGGCUCCAUUAGGGUCCUGCCCUCUUUCUGUGCAGCUAGGCCAUGACUCCCAUUUGUGCCUACCCUUAAGGCUUCUCUGUCUCCCUCUUUUUUUCUCUCUCCUCCAGGAAAAAAAAAAAUUCUCAGAACAAGUUUUCUGAUGUGGGCCUUGGCCACUUCCUUUGGUGGGAAUGGUCGUUUUUCAAUGCACAUCAACUCUCUUUUAGUUCAUGUGUAUGCAGAGGCCUUUACAGACCAUCUACUCCCCCUCACUUACACUCCAUCUUUAGUUUGAAAUGGUGCCCAGCAAUGUAGUUAGAUCACCUUGCAAACUGUGUUCCCAGUGGGAGCAGGCCUCUCUGAGCAAAGCUGGGACAUGGACAGUGAUAGGCAGGAUAAUUCUGCCUUCCCAUGAAAUAUUUUUCUGCUUACCAUGCUAGGAUUUCUGGUUUUGAGGAGAAACAUAUUUUUUUAUUAUUAUACCCGCACCCCCAACACUCAUCUGAGGGCCUUGCAAUGUCACGUGAGAUAGUGACACAGCAGCCAAUGCUCAAAUCGUGGUAAGAGAUCCCCCUCACCCUAUCAGGCCAACCUGUGCCAUUACUGUAGGAGGCUGUGGUGCCCUUGACCUCCUUGGGAUCUGACUUCUCUGGCUGGAAUAAUAUGCACAAUUUCAAAGGAAACUAAACAGCUCCAGGUAGCAAAUGUGUUUGAGUCUGUUCUGACCCAAACCAUUGUAGCACAAAGAAAUGGACAACAAUUUCGUCAUGCUACAGGUACUUGUCAGUUCUGCUCCAAGCAACAUCUUUGAAUUGAAAGAAAGGAUAGGAUCAGCACCUGGCUUUGAAAGCAUCUCCUGGAUGGGUCAUGAAGAAUGCACAGAUGCUUCCAGAGACCAAGCUAUGGAAAGUACAGAAUAUAUUUUUCACAGGAAAGAUUGUCUGAUUUACCAUUAACAUUUUCACAAAUACAAAUUACAAGGAAAUGCAUUAAGGAAAGAAUCAGAUUGAAAGGCUUUGUAGUAAUCAGAAAAAAUGAAUGGCAUCUUCCUAGGCUCCCCUGGGUGGUAAUAAUUACCAGCUGCACAACUGUGGCUUGUGCCACUUAAAGAUUUCUGGACUAAAAAUCUUGAUAUGUUUUUGUUUCCAUUCUUAGAGAAGCCACUCUUGGAAUCAGGCAGCAACACAGGCCAGCUGCUCUAAGAAGCAUGAACUGAGCCUGCUUCAGCCUGAGAGGGCACCAGUUUACAUGCAGAGUAGCCCAGAUCCUGAUCCCAAGCCGUGGCUCAGUUGCAUCUGGCCCAGCACAUUU
Ficedula albicollis (Collared flycatcher) is the source of this 2711-nucleotide long non-coding RNA. The record is from Ensembl. Lineage: Eukaryota; Metazoa; Chordata; Aves; Passeriformes; Muscicapidae.